RNAcentral lists this ribosomal RNA (253 nucleotides) under uncultured bacterium. RNAcentral's name for it is "partial 16S ribosomal RNA". It matches the Rfam family "Bacterial small subunit ribosomal RNA", at positions 524 to 776 of the family's 1533-position model. The record is from RNAcentral.
UACGUAGGGGGCAAGCGUUGUCCGGAAUCAUUGGGCGUAAAGAGCGUGUAGGCGGCCUGAUAAGUCGGCUGUGAAAGUCAAGGGCUCAACCCUUGAAUGCCGGCCGAUACUGUCAGGCUAGAGUCCGGAAGAGGCGAGUGGAAUUCCUGGUGUAGCGGUGAAAUGCGCAGAUAUCAGGAGGAACACCCGUAGCGAAGGCGGCACUCUGGGCCGGAACUGACGCUGAGGAGCGAAAGCGUGGGGAGCGAACAGG